Molecule: ribosomal RNA, 491 nt
Filed under: uncultured bacterium
Lineage: Bacteria
Description: partial 16S ribosomal RNA
Rfam family: Bacterial small subunit ribosomal RNA
Source: RNAcentral
AUUGAACGCUGGCGGCAUGCUUUACACAUGCAAGUCGAACGGUAACAGGCCUUCGGGUGCUGACGAGUGGCGAACGGGUGAGUAAUGCAUCGGAACGUGCCCAGAGGUGGGGGAUAACGCAGCGAAAGCUGUGCUAAUACCGCAUGUGAUCUGAGGAUGAAAGCGGGGGACCAGGCAGCAAUGUUUGGCCUCGCGCCUUUGGAGCGGCCGAUGUCAGAUUAGGUAGUUGGUGGGGUAAAGGCCUACCAAGCCGACGAUCUGUAGCUGGUCUGAGAGGACGACCAGCCACACUGGGACUGAGACACGGCCCAGACUCCUACGGGAGGCAGCAGUGGGGAAUUUUGGACAAUGGGCGCAAGCCUGAUCCAGCAAUGCCGCGUGCGGGAAGAAGGCCUUCGGGUUGUAAACCGCUUUUGUACGGAACGAAAGGCUCUGGCUAAUACCUGGGGCUGAUGACGGUACCGUAAGAAUAAGCACCGGCUAACUACGUG